AAUGAGAGCGUUGGUUAAGGGGUUAUGGAGAUUUAAAGUGCCAUGCUUUGGAUGCUAAUAUAAAUCGCGUCCCAAGUGCAGGAAACAAAGUUCUGGAUGCCAAUUAAAGAAGUGUCUGGUUGUUUUUCAAACUCGCGGCCUGCUCCACCUUGCUCGACUUGACGAGUUGCAAAUGGGUUGCAGAGAUUUGCUGCAAACAAUCUGCAUGCUAUCAAGGAUAGCAUCCCGGCCCUCUGCACGCUAUCAAGGAUAGCGUCCCCACUAAAGACGCUAUUUUGACUCGCGUCUGGGUUUUCCACUCACCUCACUUCUGUAAUUUAUGGAUUUUGAGCCCUA
RNAcentral lists this unclassified non-coding RNA (336 nucleotides) under Hevea brasiliensis (rubber tree). Lineage: Eukaryota; Viridiplantae; Streptophyta; Magnoliopsida; Malpighiales; Euphorbiaceae. The record is from RNAcentral.